RNAcentral lists this ribosomal RNA (252 nucleotides) under uncultured bacterium. RNAcentral describes it as "partial 16S ribosomal RNA". It matches the Rfam family "Bacterial small subunit ribosomal RNA", at positions 525 to 776 of the family's 1533-position model. The record is from RNAcentral.
ACGGAAGGUCCGGGCGUUAUCCGGAUUUAUUGGGUUUAAAGGGAGCGUAGGCCGCCCCUUAAGCGUGUUGUGAAAUGCGGGUGCUCAACAUCCGACUUGCAGCGCGAACUGGGGGGCUUGAGUGCGCCGAAAGUAGGCGGAAUUCGUGGUGUAGCGGUGAAAUGCUUAGAUAUCACGAAGAACUCCGAUUGCGAAGGCAGCUUACUGUAGCGCAACUGACGCUGAUGCUCGAAAGCGUGGGUAUCGAACAGG